UUCUAACCGUAAACGAUGACAACCAGCGAUUAAUCGGCGUUAAUAUAUGACCCGAUUAGCAGCUUCCGGGAAACCAAAGUUUUUCGUUUCCGGGGGAAGUAUGGUUGCAAAGCUGAAACUUAAAGGAAUUGACGGAAGGGCACCACCAGGAGUGGAGCCUGCGGCUUAAUUUGACUCAACACGGGAAAACUCACCCGGCCCGGACACCGUAAGGAUUGACAGACUGAGAGCUCUUUCUUAAUUCGGUGGGUGGUGGUGCAUGGCCGUUCUUAGUUGGUGGAGCGAUUUGUCUGGUUAAUUCCGAUAACGAACGAGACUCUGGCCUAUUAAAUAGACGAUAUAUUUAAAAGUAUAUCGCGCUUCUUAGAGGGACAAGCGGCGUCUAGCCGCAUGAAAUAGAGCAAUAACAGGUCUGUGAUGCCCUUAGAUGUCCGGGGCUGCACGCGCGCUACACUGAAAGAAUCAGUGUGCGUUACGCCUAGUUCGGAAGAACCGGGUAACCCAAGUAAAUUCUUUCGUGCUUGGGAUAGGGAAUUGCAAUUAUUUCCCUUAAACGAGGAAUUCCCAGUAAUGCGGGUCAUAAGCUCGCGUUGAUUA
RNAcentral lists this ribosomal RNA (597 nucleotides) under Aporcelaimellus environmental sample. Its description in RNAcentral is "SSU rRNA". It matches the Rfam family "Eukaryotic small subunit ribosomal RNA", at positions 1024 to 1647 of the family's 1831-position model. Lineage: Eukaryota; Metazoa; Nematoda; Enoplea; Dorylaimida; Aporcelaimidae. The record is from RNAcentral.